GGGACCAACUUAUCCAUCAGAAAGGAUCUAAAAGAGAGAAAACAGACAAAAGCUCUUAUCUCCUUGACUAGGUUUUCUAUGGCUGACAUUUUGUUGUCUCAGCUUAAUUGACUGGAUUGACCCAUAGCUGUGAUGUCACAAGAGAGUAGUGCCCUCCAGAGGCAGAGGCUGAAGAGUAGCUGUUAUAUCAACAGCAAGGGACCAACUUAUCCACCGGAAAGGAUCCAAAAGAAAGAAACAGACACAAGCUCUUAUCUCCCUGACUAGAUUUUGAAAAACUGAAACAUGACUGGAGAUUGAAGUAUCUAUUAUGUAAACAAAACUAAAGUCACAGAACAGACUUCAGUGGACUUUGAGCAGAAGGAAGAUCAAAGGAAAGCACUGAUAAUUUCAAGUCCAGGGCCUGGUUAUGUGUUGACGCCAUUUUCAUUAUCUCACAGCGUGAGACAAAGAGAAGCAUCUAUCUGCAAAAGGAAGAGAUUCUUCUUGGAAUAGUUGCAAAGUUGAUGCUGUCAAUUCCUGAUAGGAUCAGAAAUAGAGAAAAUAUAUUCAAAAGAAAAUCUAUCUGAAGGCUUGUCUUCCUCAGAAUUCAUAUAAAUCCAUUAAGAUGAGGUAACCAUCAAGAUCAAAGUGACAGAAAUGACUCAAAUUCAGAUCUUCUAAUUUUAAAUCCUAUGAUUUUGAAUAAAAAUAUAUUGAACAG
Molecule: long non-coding RNA, 703 nt
Filed under: Sarcophilus harrisii (Tasmanian devil)
Lineage: Eukaryota; Metazoa; Chordata; Mammalia; Dasyuromorphia; Dasyuridae
Description: lncRNA (ENSSHAG00000031799.1)
Source: RNAcentral